RNAcentral lists this ribosomal RNA (253 nucleotides) under uncultured bacterium. RNAcentral's name for it is "partial 16S ribosomal RNA". It matches the Rfam family "Bacterial small subunit ribosomal RNA", at positions 524 to 776 of the family's 1533-position model. The record is from RNAcentral.
UACGUAGGGUGCAAGCGUUGUCCGGAUUUAUUGGGUUUAAAGGGUGCGUAGGCGGCCUGUUAAGUCAGUGUUUAAAUUUUGCAGCUUAACUGUAGGUAUGGCAUUGAUACUGAUGGGCUUGAAUAUUUUGGAGGUAGCUGGAAUUUAUGGUGUAGCGGUGAAAUGCAUAGAUACCAUAAGGAACACCGAUAGCGAAGGCAUGUUACCACGAGAUAAUUGACGCUGAGGCACGAAAGUGUGGGGAUCAAACAGG